UCUGCAGGAUUGUGUGUAUCGGCUUUACGCUAAUGCGGUGCGUCUUGCCGAAAGUAUUUCCUGCUAUAUUAAUACGAGGAAAGUGGGCAGUUAGGUUAACAUCGAUAAUUUGUUUUCAGUAACAAUCAUUUUCCCCUCAUGC
Molecule: non-coding RNA, 142 nt
Organism: Brachypodium distachyon (stiff brome)
Lineage: Eukaryota; Viridiplantae; Streptophyta; Magnoliopsida; Poales; Poaceae
Source: Rfam